RNAcentral lists this ribosomal RNA (777 nucleotides) under Klebsiella pneumoniae. Its description in RNAcentral is "partial 23S ribosomal RNA". It matches the Rfam family "Bacterial large subunit ribosomal RNA", at positions 67 to 888 of the family's 2925-position model. Lineage: Bacteria; Pseudomonadati; Pseudomonadota; Gammaproteobacteria; Enterobacterales; Enterobacteriaceae. The record is from RNAcentral.
UGCGAAAAGCGUCGGUAAGGUGAUAUGAACCGUUAUAACCGGCGAUGUCCGAAUGGGGAAACCCAGUGCAAUUCGUUGCACUAUCGUUAACUGAAUACAUAGGUUAACGAGGCGAACCGGGGGAACUGAAACAUCUAAGUACCCCGAGGAAAAGAAAUCAACCGAGAUUCCCCCAGUAGCGGCGAGCGAACGGGGAGCAGCCCAGAGUCUGAAUCAGCUUGUGUGUUAGUGGAACGGUCUGGAAAGUCCGACGGUACAGGGUGAUAGUCCCGUACACCAAAAUGCACAGGCUGUGAACUCGAAGAGUAGGGCGGGACACGUGGUAUCCUGUCUGAAUAUGGGGGGACCAUCCUCCAAGGCUAAAUACUCCUGACUGACCGAUAGUGAACCAGUACCGUGAGGGAAAGGCGAAAAGAACCCCGGCGAGGGGAGUGAAAAAGAACCUGAAACCGUGUACGUACAAGCAGUGGGAGCACCUUCGGGUGUGACUGCGUACCUUUUGUAUAAUGGGUCAGCGACUUAUAUUCUGUAGCAAGGUUAACCGUAUAGGGGAGCCGCAGGGAAACCGAGUCUUAACUGGGCGUUAAGUUGCAGGGUAUAGACCCGAAACCCGGUGAUCUAGCCAUGGGCAGGUUGAAGGUUGGGUAACACUAACUGGAGGACCGAACCGACUAAUGUUGAAAAAUUAGCGGAUGACUUGUGGCUGGGGGUGAAAGGCCAAUCAAACCGGGAGAUAGCUGGUUCUCCCCGAAAGCUAUUUAGGUAGCGCCUCGUGAA